Molecule: long non-coding RNA, 311 nt
Filed under: Elaeis guineensis (African oil palm)
Lineage: Eukaryota; Viridiplantae; Streptophyta; Magnoliopsida; Arecales; Arecaceae
Description: long non-coding RNA (EGUI_LNC074484)
Source: RNAcentral
ACUGGUUACUUGGAAAUGGAAAUUUUGUUGGCUAGAAUAGUUUAGAGCUACUAAAUACUGGAUAGGGGAGAACGGACUUUAAUUACAAUAAGAAAUCGCCAAUGUGAAUCUCAGAGCCACCAUCUCACAGCUAGUGCAAUCCCUUCAUCUUGGCUAGUGGAGCUACUCCAAAUCUAUUGACCUGGGUUCAGAUUGCAUCUUUCGCAUAAAAAAAUAAUAAAUCUUCUUUCAUAGCUUCAAUUGUUGGAUCACAUUUUAUAUAAAUUUUAAAGUACUUUAUUCUUUUUCUUCCAUCUAUCUGCAUAGGCCUC